This 711-nucleotide ribosomal RNA is filed under the name uncultured Gammaproteobacteria bacterium. RNAcentral describes it as "bacterial SSU rRNA". It matches the Rfam family "Bacterial small subunit ribosomal RNA", at positions 61 to 748 of the family's 1533-position model. The record is from RNAcentral. Lineage: Bacteria; Pseudomonadati; Pseudomonadota; Gammaproteobacteria.
GUCGAACGGUAACAGGCCAUCGUGAUCUCUUCGGAGUGAACUAGGCGCUGACGAGUGGCGGACGGGUGAGUAAUACUUAGGAAUCUGCCCUGUAGUGGGGGACAACUCGAGGAAACUCGAGCUAAUACCGCAUACGCCCUAAGGGGGAAAGCGGGGGAUCAUUAGACCUCGCGCUAUUGGAUGAGCCUAAGUCGGAUUAGUUUGUUGGUAGGGUAAUAGCCUACCAAGGCUACGAUCCGUAGCUGGUCUGAGAGGACGAUCAGCCACACUGGGACUGAGACACGGCCCAGACUCCUACGGGAGGCAGCAGUGGGGAAUAUUGGACAAUGGGCGAAAGCCUGAUCCAGCAAUGCCGCGUGUGUGAAGAAGGCCUGAGGGUUGUAAAGCACUUUCAGUAGUGAAGAAAAAUUUAGAGUUAAUACCUUUAAGUCAUGACGUUAACUACAGAAGAAGCACCGGCUAACUCCGUGCCAGCAGCCGCGGUAAUACGGAGGGUGCGAGCGUUAAUCGGAAUUACUGGGCGUAAAGCGCGCGUAGGCGGUUUUGUAAGUCGGAUGUGAAAGCCCAGGGCUUAACCUUGGAAUUGCAUUCGAUACUGCAUCACUAGAGUAUGGUAGAGGGAAGUGGAAUUUCCGGUGUAGCGGUGAAAUGCGUAGAGAUCGGAAGGAACAUCAGUGGCGAAGGCGACUUCCUGGGCCAAUACUGACGCUC